This 310-nucleotide unclassified non-coding RNA is filed under the name uncultured Penicillium. Its description in RNAcentral is "sequence contains ITS1". The stretch from base 1 to 105 matches the Rfam family "5.8S ribosomal RNA", at positions 50 to 154 of the family's 154-position model. The record is from RNAcentral. Lineage: Eukaryota; Fungi; Ascomycota; Eurotiomycetes; Eurotiales; Aspergillaceae.
GAAAUGCGAUACGUAAUGUGAAUUGCAGAAUUCAGUGAAUCAUCGAGUCUUUGAACGCACAUUGCGCCCUCUGGUAUUCCGGAGGGCAUGCCUGUCCGAGCGUCAUUGCUGCCCUCAAGCACGGCUUGUGUGUUGGGCUCCGUCCCCCGAUCCCGGGGGACGGGCCCGAAAGGCAGCGGCGGCACCGCGUCCGGUCCUCGAGCGUAUGGGGCUUUGUCACCCGCUCUGUAGGCCCGGCCGGCGCUUGCCGAUCAACCAAAUUUUUAUCCAGGUUGACCUCGGAUCAGGUAGGGAUACCCGCUGAGUUUAA